CAGAAUUUUCUGAACGCCUCUACGGGCCAGGCAGACGAAGUAUGAAUGGCCCAUUUUACAGAUGAAGAAAUUGAGGCCCACAGACAUUAAGACACUUGCUCAGGGUUGUGCAGACACACAGUGACAGAACCCAAACUAGUGUGACGGAGGAGUCUUGGCAAUCCUGGAAGACCUGCAGGAUCUCCUCCCAGCCCUCCAGUGUGAAGCCAGCAGUUUCGUCAGCCACGUAGGUGGCUCUCCAGCCAACGUUUACUUUAGUGUCAAAAAGAAAUCCCAGGCCUCCUGGCGAUCCUCCAGCCCUCAGAAGUACGGGACACUCCCAGUGCCCUUGGAAGACAGUCGUGUGGAUGCAGGAGCCCACCUCCUGCGGUACGAUUCUCAGAGGCCCUUGCCCACCCCUGGGAGCCGGGGCGUGUCACAUGUCCCAUGCUUGGCCAGACAGGCCUGGCUUGAAUGGAUGGUGCGAAGAUAAGUUUCCUUUAGAGCCCAUUCCCGUGGUGGAGAGAGUGGCCAUCAGGCCAGAGUCGUUCCAGGACAAGCUGGCGUUCGUGCUUUAUGGUUCUUGGCCUUCUCGAGCUGCCUCAGUGCCUGUCUGCUCUCCAAUCCUGUCCUUGCAGCCUCCUUUGAGUCUCUGGGGCCCUGGUAGCCUGCCAAUAAAUUCCCUUUGUGUUUAAGAGAA
RNAcentral lists this long non-coding RNA (679 nucleotides) under Equus asinus (donkey). RNAcentral's name for it is "lncRNA (ENSEASG00005023917.1)". The record is from RNAcentral. Lineage: Eukaryota; Metazoa; Chordata; Mammalia; Perissodactyla; Equidae.